This 1426-nucleotide long non-coding RNA is filed under the name Homo sapiens (human). Its description in RNAcentral is "HSALNT0297780". The record is from RNAcentral. Lineage: Eukaryota; Metazoa; Chordata; Mammalia; Primates; Hominidae.
GACCAUAGUGGAAAGAUGAAAUCAACUGGAUUUGGUUCUUAGGUGUAAUAAUGGCAUUUUGGUUAUGUAAGAGAAUGUUCUUAUUUCUAAGAGAUGCACACAGGAAUCUUUAGGGAUGAAGGGCCAUAAUGUCUGUAAUUUACUUUCAAAUGUCCAUCAUAUUCAUACACACAUACACAGUAUAUCUGUGAGAUAAUAAGAGUGAAAAGGUAAAUAGCAUCUUAGUAGUAUUAUGAAAAAAAUAUAUAUGGAGAGAGGGAAAGGGGAGAAAAAGCAAAUAUGAGACAAAAUAUUAGCAAUUUUGAAUCUACAUGAAAGCAAUCUAGUAAAUGAUGAAUCAUUUUAGUCUUCUUCCAGCCCUUUCUGUAGGUUUGACAAUUUUCAAAAUAAAAAGAUGGGGAAAAAAUGAAAAGAAAAAAAAAACUUUAAAAAGUCUUGGUAAUCACUGAUUAGAUAUGAGAGAAAGGGAGUGACUUUCUGGUUCCUUGCCUGGCAACAGAGUAGACAGCACUGUCCUUCCCAAGAGGGAAGUGCAAGAGGAGAAAUCGAAUUGGAGGGAUGAUGAGUUCGUUAUGGAGUGUGUGGACUUUGAGGUGCUCUGGGCUCCAACAGGCAACGUGCAACCCUGAAGUUUUUGAGAGGGAAAUGUGGUAAAGAUGCAGACAUGGGUGUCUUUAGAAUCUAGAUGGUAAUGGAAGGUACUGGGGGACCCUGGAGUAUCAAGGGCAUGUGUGGAGAAUGAGAAGAGAUGAGGUGUGAGGAUGAAAUCCUGGCGGACACUGACAUUUCAGGGUCAGCAAAGAAGGAUAUUGGAGUAGACAACUUCCAAGGUGGCCCAUGACACCACCUCUUCACAGGCAGGCUUUUGUGUAGUCAGCCCCUCUCACACUGUAUCAGUGUUGGCCUGUCAGACAAGAGGGGUGGAAGUGAUGGCAUGUCACUCCUGAGAUUACAUCAUAAAAGACAUUGUGGCUUUCAUCUAGGCUUGCUACAUGCUCAUUCUUGUGGAUCCCUUGUUCUGGGGGAAGCCAUCUAUCAUGUCAUGGUAGGCUACAGGGAGUUCCAUGUGGGGAAGAACUGAAACCUCCUCCCAACAGCCAUGUGAGGAAGCUUGGAAAACCUUAGAAGAGUAUCCUUUAAAAAAAAGUUUUAAAUUAAACACAAAUAAAUACAUAAACAGUACAACUGCAAUCUCAUGAGACAUCCCAAGCGAGACAACUCAGCAACAGAUAACGAACACAGACAAACCUCAAAGGUGAGUUAGAAGGGAAUAUGUCGAGACAGGAGAACCAUGAGCCUGGGAUCUUGAGAAUAUGUCAUGGAAGACAGCCUGGAAUACGGUGGCUAAUACUACUGAAUGGCAGAGGAUUGGAAUUUUCAACAAAGAGCAUGGUGGCUCAUGGCUAUAAUCCCAGCAUUUUGGGAG